AGUAAGGAAUAUUGGUCAAUGGAGGCAACUCUGAACCAGCCAUGCCGCGUGCAGGAAGACUGCCCUAUGGGUUGUAAACUGCUUUUAUCCGGGAAUAAACCUACUUACGUGUAAGUAGCUGAAUGUACCGGAAGAAUAAGGAUCGGCUAACUCCGUGCCAGCAGCCGCGGUAAUACGGAGGAUCCAAGCGUUAUCCGGAUUUAUUGGGUUUAAAGGGUGCGUAGGCGGCCUGUUAAGUCAGAGGUGAAAGACGGUAGCUCAACUAUCGCAGUGCCUUUGAUACUGACGGGCUUGAAUGAACUAGAGGUAGGCGGAAUGAGACAAGUAGCGGUGAAAUGCAUAGAUAUGUCUCAGAACACCGAUUGCGAAGGCAGCUUACUAUGGUUUUAUUGACGCUGAGGCACGAAAGCGUGGGGAUCAAA
RNAcentral lists this ribosomal RNA (422 nucleotides) under uncultured Pedobacter sp. RNAcentral describes it as "bacterial SSU rRNA". It matches the Rfam family "Bacterial small subunit ribosomal RNA", at positions 353 to 772 of the family's 1533-position model. Lineage: Bacteria; Pseudomonadati; Bacteroidota; Sphingobacteriia; Sphingobacteriales; Sphingobacteriaceae. The record is from RNAcentral.